This is a non-coding RNA of Manis javanica (Malayan pangolin), 3264 nucleotides long. The record is from RefSeq and is a predicted model, not a curated record. Lineage: Eukaryota; Metazoa; Chordata; Mammalia; Pholidota; Manidae.
AAUCUCAGAUGAAGAAAACUCCUGGGUUUGUAGCUUCUGAAGAAUGCAGUGAUCUGUGCAUGUGAUCUCUCCAGAUCUGUUUUUUAUUGGGACACUGAAAGGCUGUGAAUUCAGUGAUUUGCUAGAAACCCUUUCCUGAAGGGUGAAGUUGAGGAGUUUUGCUCGACCUUUGGGAGCCCUCCUGUGUCUUGAACACUCUUCCACAAUAGCGUCUCCAGAAUGGUGGGCUUCCUGAAGGAAGACACGCAGCGAGGAGCCUCCAUCCUCCUGGUGGUAAGUGGGCCGUGGGCACUUUCCUCUCCUGAGGCCUUUCCUGCCCCCAGAAACAUCCCCCAGCCGUAAUUGCACCAGGAAGCCCAGAUUCCUUCUCUGAAGCCUGAGGGCAGAACUGCAGCAGCUGCUUCAAGAGGAAUCGCCCUGCCCUGGCCCACGCAGCCCCGUGGGCAUACAGUUGGCCUGUCUUUCUCUUGGUUUCUCCUGGUAUUCAGCCCCCAGGAAACCUCCUAGGAUCACACAGCUGCGAGGGUCCGCUGUGCUGAGAGUGGCAUUAUAUGUAGAAGUAGGCUCAUACUGGCAGAGCCGGCCAGCUAGUGAGUGGGUUUGUUUAAGUUACAGUGGAAACUGGCACAGAAGGCCCUGAGUGCGGGUGGUUUGAAGUGGAGGUCAGCACACAUACGUCAGCAGACGGUGACAUCCAGAGCUGAUGGAACCAAGUGGCUUAACUGGGCCAGGCCUGGCAUCCUUUUACAGUUCUCACCCCUGGGAGGAAGGCUUUCAUGGGCAUGGCCAGCCUCUCUCCAGGCCUCUUUGCCACCUGCCUCCUGACCUGUACACUGGGCUCCAGCAGGCCCCGGCCUGGGUGCGGCUGCUCUUCAAGGUGGGCCAGCUCUCUUCUCUGCUCCUUACAGACCCUGCAGCCCUCAAGGGGGGCCUUCAUGGGCCUUUCCAGUUCCUAGUUACCAGGGAUUCCCCAAGUUCAGAUGAAGAUCUCCUGGAUGACAUCGUAACGACUCAAAGAACACCUUGCAGCACCAUGUGGAAACAGCUGAGUGCUGGUAGCACAUCCCGGAUGCCCUCAGCAGGUUUGCUUGCCGUGCUCUACGGGACGGACCGCUCUUCACCAUCACCUGGAACAACUCUGGACGGCGACCUCAGCUGCCUUCACGGGCCUCCUUAUGUGAAUUACAAGUAUCUGCUAGGUUAUUUCACAACUGUAGCACCUGCCAUCCGUACCAGAAAGGAAACGGUGCUCCGCUUUCUCAGGGAUGUGUUAACAGGGCCAGGCACCACUCUGCUUUUGUUGUUGUUUGAUUUAUUUUAGUGUUUGUGUGUUUGUCUUUAAAUCAUUUGCACCAGCUCUGUAAACAAUUUAAUGAGUACAUACCUUUUCUUAUGAAAUUCUUUUCAACUUAGCAAAGAAUUAUUUUCCCCUUCAGCCACCAUUCCCAACCCCUCCUCCCCCAACUUAUGAAACAUUUGGUUUUGUUUCGUUUUUUUGCUAAUGUGUUUUGCUAUGUAUUUUCAUCUCUAUUUCUGUCUCACCAUAUAUCUAGCUCUAUUUAUAUCUGUAUAUAUUACAUAUAUAAAGUUACUUCUUUACAUCACUGAACUCCAAGCUGCCGACCUUAGAUUAUACAGUGUCUACAUGCAGUGGGCUGAACUGUGUGCCCCACCAUUUAUUUCAUUUGUCAAAGCCCUACUGCCCCAUGUCACUGUGUUUGGACAUAGAGAUCUUGGGAGGUAAUUAAGUUUAAAUAGGUGGCUUUCUAACUGGUAGGAUUGGUGGUCUUAUAAAGAGAGGAGUAGAAAGAGCUCUCUCUCUCUGUCUGUCUCUCCAUGUGCACACACUAGGAAAGGCCACUUGAGGACACAGCAAAGAGGUGGCUGUCUUUAAGCCCAGUACAGAGCCCUCACCACACCCCACCAUGCUGGCACCCUAGUCUCAGACUUAGAGCCUCCAGAUCUGUAAGAAAUAAUUUUCUAUUGUUUCAGCCAUCAAGCCUGUGGUAUUUGCUGUGGCUACCUGGGCUGACUAAUACACCAUUCAUGGUGAAAUUAUUCAACAUUCUUUCAACAAAUAAGGACUCUAUACACUUGGGGGGAAGUCAUUUAUUUCCACAAUUAGAUGCUGGAGGCAACGAUAAUACUGAAAUACAGUUACUGAACUUUCUAUUUUCUUUUCUUUAGUACAGAUUAGUUUGACCUUUUGCUAUCUCAGGCUCACAAAUUGCUCAAAAUCACAAGGUCUGCAACGAAGCUGUGACAAUAAUUCAAAAGAUUUGUUUUCUUACGCUGGCUCUAUCCAUCUGAUUACAUUGUAACCAAUAUUUGCUUCUGUCCCUGGGGACAAAAACUGUUUUAUAAACUACAAAGAAAUUGCACAGCCAUGGAAGAAAUACGCUUGUCAAAUGGACCAUGUUUUCUCCCCUGCAUAACAAAAAACCCGUAAAACACUCUGUUAUGCUAAAAACAACACCAAGAAAAACAAAGAAAAGAAAGGGAGGCAGUUUCUUCCUGGCACUGAGGAAAUACUGGAGACUGUGAGCUUUCAGACAGUGUGGCAGCCUCCCUUGUAGAGGGCUUAUUCUAACUGGGGCAUGAGGGUGUAAUGACAUUUCCCUCACUUGGGACACUUUUCAAGGACGUAUCAAUGAAUAAAAUCAACUGCAUCAGCAAAGGCAUGGACAUGAAUCAACUCAAAUCGAUCCCUUCUGAAGGCAGAAAACUUGGCAAUCACCAGAUAGCAAUGAUCUGGGUGAGGGUCACUCUCCGGGUGGGCUGCUCACCUUGGGUGUGGGCCACCUCUCUACGUGGAACAGACAGAUGUGUGUGCUCAUGUGGGUUGUCUUUCUGUGGGAUGAAGUAAAAGGGAAGUAUGAAUUACUCUGGAAGUUUUUAGAAGCAAUUGAUUUGCUGUGCGACUGUAAUCAUCUGGCAAAGUGGCCACCCCUGGGGCACUUGGCAGCAGUGUGCAGGUGACCACGAAAUGCCCCCAUUGCCUGGAGUGCACUUCUGUGUCUGGAUGAACAGGUGGCACCAGCACAUUGCCUCCCAAACGUGUCUCCUGUCUGUGCUCCUGACUCCUUGCACACCCGUCCUGCUCUCUGCUGUCCUGGUAAAUCUCACUCCAGAUCAGAGCCACCACCUGUCAUAGGUGGCCCUGUGGGCUCCAAGUAACUAAAGGAAGACAUAAGCUAUCUUUAGAAUGUUUUAUUUUUGUCUACUGGGACUCCAUAGUUGCUGAGAGAGUUGUCAUCUCUGAUU